This 97-nucleotide small nuclear RNA is filed under the name Musa acuminata subsp. malaccensis (wild Malaysian banana). Lineage: Eukaryota; Viridiplantae; Streptophyta; Magnoliopsida; Zingiberales; Musaceae. The record is from RNAcentral.
UAUCUCUUCAAAGUCGUAUGAUAAAAUUGAAAUGAUAUAGAGAAGAUUAGCAUGACUCAUGUGUAAGGAUUGGAAAACACAAAUUUUAUUUGCUUUA